This 226-nucleotide ribosomal RNA is filed under the name uncultured bacterium. Its description in RNAcentral is "partial 16S ribosomal RNA". It matches the Rfam family "Bacterial small subunit ribosomal RNA", at positions 1267 to 1500 of the family's 1533-position model. The record is from RNAcentral.
GCGGAUCUCGAAAGCCUGUCCCAGUUCGGACUGGAGUCUGCAACCCGACUCCGCGAAGUUGGAUUCGCUAGUAAUCGCGCAUCAGCCAUGGCGCGGUGAAUACGUUCCCGGGCCUUGUACACACCGCCCGUCAAGCCAUGGGAGCCGGGGGGCGCCUGAAGUCCGGGACCGCGAGGACCGGCCUAGGGCGAAACUGGUAACUGGGGCUAAGUCGUAACAAGGUAAC